AGUGAACGCUGGCGGUAGGCCUAACACAUGCAAGUCGAACGGCAGCACAGUAAGAGCUUGCUCUUACGGGUGGCGAGUGGCGGACGGGUGAGGAAUACAUCGGAAUCUACUUUUUCGUGGGGGAUAACGUAGGGAAACUUACGCUAAUACCGCAUACGACCUACGGGUGAAAGCAGGGGAUCUUCGGACCUUGCGCGAUUGAAUGAGCCGAUGUCGGAUUAGCUAGUUGGCGGGGUAAAGGCCCACCAAGGCGACGAUCCGUAGCUGGUCUGAGAGGAUGAUCAGCCACACUGGAACUGAGACACGGUCCAGACUACUACGGGAGGCAGCAGUGGGGAAUAUUGGACAAUGGGCGCAAGCCUGAUACAGCCAGACCGCGUGGGUGAAGAAGGCCUUCGGGUUGUAAAGCCCUUUUGUUGGGAAAGAAAAGCAGCAGGUUAAUACCCCGCGGUUCUGACGGUACCCAAAGAAUAAGCACCGGCUAACUUCGUG
RNAcentral lists this ribosomal RNA (492 nucleotides) under uncultured bacterium. RNAcentral's name for it is "partial 16S ribosomal RNA". It matches the Rfam family "Bacterial small subunit ribosomal RNA", at positions 29 to 507 of the family's 1533-position model. The record is from RNAcentral.